AGCGUUGACAGCUGACUUUAUUACGAUUUUCUGACAGUGAACCACUUACCCAGUCAACAGUAGUUUAUAUCGUGCGUGAUAACUGACAGUGUCCAAUAACCUGACGGAAUCUGGGAGUUAACCUACGUAGUUUGCAGGCGAUUUAUGUAAACGAUGAUAGAUGUUCGGAGGUCGUUGCUUUAAGGAUGUGUCUAAUGGUAUCGACGUGCGACCAUCUCUCUCUACAACCGCGGACGUCCUUCUCCUAAGCACACAACCGAAUACCAGACAGAUGGCUCCGCCUUUUUAUAAACGAUCUUCUAAAUGCAGCCCUCCUUUUAUGCAUGCCCAUGACGUUUAAUCUGUUCACCAUUCAUGAACGACAGAACGUGCGCGCUCGUCUAUUUGUGCGUGACACCGAGACGUACCCAGACAACGUUCUUCACAGUCUAAAGUCCACCGGGCGAUUAUAGCGGCGAAUUUAUGUAUUUGCCAUGCAGAAUAAUCGGCGUCAUGUAAAUAAAGAUCAUCCCGUAGAGGAGAGGGACCACACCCAGAAAACGUCAGUACAGUAGAGUCGGAGCAGAUAAAAAGGUGGAAAUCCAGCCCCCCCAGUGAGCGCGGGGAAGGACGCAGUGCGUCGGCGUCGUCCCGUAGGAUAGCUACGUCGCGACGCCGAAUUUGCCCACUACAAUUCCAGACCUCGAGUCAGCAGCUACACAUACGUCCAGCUUCAAGUUCAUUAUCAGAUCAGCUCGGGGAGCUUGGAGGGGCGGUGAUGUGCGGGAUUUCCAGAAGUCUUCAUUUUCGAUGCUCGAAUGCAACCCCCUGCACGUAUACUGAAUGUAUCCUGAGUGUUUCCUAUCCGGUAUACCUUCAGUAUACGUAACAGGAGGCCACAUUGCUACGUGGGAGUUCUGCAGGAUGAAAUUUGGAUACCUGGAAGUUAAAUUGUUCUUAUCAUGCAUUUAUAAGUGUUUCUAUACUUUAGUACUUUAAUGUAAAUCUUAAGUAAAUUUAUGAGCAUGUUUAUAAUAAUCUUAAGUUACCAAUAUUAAAAAAAAUACCUUAAUGCAAAUUAAAUACAUUGAUAUUUUUACUUUUAA
Long non-coding RNA from Anthonomus grandis grandis, 1085 nucleotides. RefSeq lists it as uncharacterized. The record is from RefSeq and is a predicted model, not a curated record. NCBI's taxonomy places the organism in Eukaryota, Metazoa, Arthropoda, Insecta, Coleoptera, Curculionidae. The transcript is spliced from 3 exons.